RNAcentral lists this ribosomal RNA (418 nucleotides) under Alistipes sp. Its description in RNAcentral is "bacterial SSU rRNA". It matches the Rfam family "Bacterial small subunit ribosomal RNA", at positions 1 to 411 of the family's 1533-position model. Lineage: Bacteria; Pseudomonadati; Bacteroidota; Bacteroidia; Bacteroidales; Rikenellaceae. The record is from RNAcentral.
ACAAUGGAGAGUUUGAUCCUGGCUCAGGAUGAACGCUAGCGGCAGGCUUAACACAUGCAAGUCGAGGGGCAGCGAGAUCAAAGCUUGCUUUGGUUGUCGGCGACCGGCGGACGGGUGCGUAACGCGUAUGCAACCUACCCAUUACAGGGGGAUAACACUGAGAAAUCGGUACUAAUACCCCAUAAUAUCCAGAGAGGCAUCUCUUUGGGUUGAAAACUCCGGUGGUAAUGGAUGGGCAUGCGUUGUAUUAGUUAGUUGGUGAGGUAACGGCCCACCAAGACUACGAUACAUAGGGGGACUGAGAGGUUAACCCCCCACAUUGGUACUGAGACACGGACCAAACUCCUACGGGAGGCAGCAGUGAGGAAUAUUGGUCAAUGGACGCAAGUCUGAACCAGCCAUGCCGCGUGCAGGAAGA